GAUGAAGAACGCAGCGAAAUGCGAUAAGUAGUGUGAAUUGCAGAAUUCAGUGAAUCAUCGAAUCUUUGAACGCACAUUGCGCCUCCUGGUAUUCCGGGAGGCAUGCCUGUUCGAGCGUCAUUAAAAUCACUCAAGCUUAGGUUUACCUAUUGCUUGGUCUUGGAGAUGGAAGCCAAUUCAUUGGAAUCCUCUUCGAAAUCCAAUGGCGAAGACCCUUGCUCUCCCAAGUGUAGUAAUAACUUAUGUCACUGAAGGAAGCGAGAAAUCUUCCGCCGUAACCCCCAUAUUUUCUAUGAUUGACCUCGGAUCAGGUAGGGAUACCAGCUGAACUUAAGCAUAUCAAUAAGCGGAGGA
Molecule: unclassified non-coding RNA, 354 nt
Filed under: soil metagenome
Description: partial contains 5.8S ribosomal RNA, internal transcribed spacer 2, and large subunit ribosomal RNA
Rfam family: 5.8S ribosomal RNA (bases 1-120)
Source: RNAcentral